Molecule: small RNA, 236 nt
Filed under: Arabidopsis thaliana (thale cress)
Lineage: Eukaryota; Viridiplantae; Streptophyta; Magnoliopsida; Brassicales; Brassicaceae
Description: ATSL123430
Source: RNAcentral
UAAGAAAAUAAUAAAAAUCAAGUUGGGUACCCACAGGUAGUCUCGGAACAAUCAGGUUUUUUCGGGCUUUACCCACUAAAUCAAAAAUCCAUCUGGGUUUUUUAAAGUUGGGUUUUUGGUGGACGGAUUUAUUUUGGAUUCAGGUCGGGCUGGGCUUUUUUACCCACAACAACAUCUCUAACCGUACCAAUUCAUUUUCUAUGUAGAAUUACAUAACUAUAGUUUUUCCUUACAAA